Unclassified non-coding RNA from Cavia porcellus (domestic guinea pig), 293 nucleotides. Its record names the gene 7SK. It matches the Rfam family "7SK RNA". Rfam says of the family: 7SK was discovered as an abundant small nuclear RNA in the mid-70s but a possible function has only recently been suggested. Two independent studies have found that 7SK RNA binds the CDK9/cyclin T complex (known as elongation factor P-TEFb). The record is from Ensembl. Lineage: Eukaryota; Metazoa; Chordata; Mammalia; Rodentia; Caviidae.
AGUUAUGAGGGGGAUCUGGCUACAUCCGUCACCCUACUGACCGCCAGAGUUGGUUUAGCUGAUCUGGCUGGUCCCUUCCUCUCUCAACCCUCAAUGUGUAUUCACCCACCCUGAAGCUGCUCGCUCCUUGGAACAAGUGAGCACCUCUGAUAGAGGAAGACCAUUUUCCCAGUCAAGAGUAUGAGAGUAGCCGCACUCUCAAAAAUCCCAAAGUAAAACACCAAAUCAAAAAAUAGACAAGUGAAACGCUUCACAGAAGUACAAAUGACCAAUAAAUACAUGAAGAAAUGUUU